AAUAGAUACCCUGGUAGUCCACGCCGUAAACGAUGAGUGCUAAGUGUUAGAGGGUUUCCGCCCUUUAGUGCUGCAGCUAACGCAUUAAGCACUCCGCCUGGGGAGUACGGUCGCAAGACUGAAACUCAAAGGAAUUGACGGGGGCCCGCACAAGCGGUGGAGCAUGUGGUUUAAUUCGAAGCAACGCGAAGAACCUUACCAGGUCUUGACAUCCUCUGACAACUCUAGAGAUAGAGCGUUCCCCUUCGGGGGACAGAGUGACAGGUGGUGCAUGGUUGUCGUCAGCUCGUGUCGUGAGAUGUUGGGUUAAGUCCCGCAACGAGCGCAACCCUUGAUCUUAGUUGCCAGCAUUCAGUUGGGCACUCUAAGGUGACUGCCGGUGACAAACCGGAGGAAGGUGGGGAUGACGUCAAAUCAUCAUGCCCCUUAUGACCUGGGCUACACACGUGCUACAAUGGAUGGUACAAAGGGCUGCGAGACCGCGAGGUCAAGCCAAUCCCAUAAAACCAUUCUCAGUUCGGAUUGGU
This 527-nucleotide ribosomal RNA is filed under the name uncultured bacterium. RNAcentral describes it as "bacterial SSU rRNA". It matches the Rfam family "Bacterial small subunit ribosomal RNA", at positions 777 to 1302 of the family's 1533-position model. The record is from RNAcentral.